This 256-nucleotide ribosomal RNA is filed under the name uncultured bacterium. RNAcentral describes it as "partial 16S ribosomal RNA". It matches the Rfam family "Archaeal small subunit ribosomal RNA", at positions 474 to 727 of the family's 1478-position model. The record is from RNAcentral.
UACCAGCACCCCCGAGUGGUCGGGACGUUUUAUUGGGCCUAAAGCAUCCGUAGCCGGUUCUACAAGUCUUCCGUUAAAUCCAGCUGCUUAACAGAUGGGCUGCGGAAGAUACUAUGGAGCUAGGAGGCGGGAGAGGCAAGCGGUACUCGAUGGGUAGGGGUAAAAUCCGUUGAUCCAUUGAAGACCACCAGUGGCGAAGGCGGCUUGCCAGAACGCGCUCGACGGUGAGGGAUGAAAGCUGGGGGGAGCAAACCGG